GACGAACGCUGGCGGCGUGCUUAACACAUGCAAGUCGAACGGAAAGGCCCUGCUCUUGUGGCGCGCUCGAGUGGCGAACGGGUGAGUAACACGCGAGUAACCUGCCCUUGACUUUGGGAUAACUUCAGGAAACUGGGGCUAAUAUCGGAUAGGAGCUCCUGCUGCAUGGUGGGGGUUGGUAAGUUUCGGCGGUUGGGGAUGGACUCGCGGCUUAUGAGCCUGUUGGUGGGGUAGUGGCUUACCAAGGCUUCGACGGGUAGCCGGCCUGAGAGGGUGGCCGGCCACCAGAGGACUGAGGGAGGGCCCAGACGGCAAUGGGACGCAAGGGGGGAGAGUAUGACAGAGUAGGGGGGCGCGAGGUGUGACAGCGCCGGGUGCGGGAAGACGGGCUUCGGGUGGAGAACCAAUUUCGCCUGUGACGAGGCGUGAGUGACGGUAAUGGGUAAAGAAGCACCGGCUAACUACGUG
This 468-nucleotide ribosomal RNA is filed under the name uncultured bacterium. RNAcentral describes it as "partial 16S ribosomal RNA". It matches the Rfam family "Bacterial small subunit ribosomal RNA", at positions 28 to 507 of the family's 1533-position model. The record is from RNAcentral.